UAAUACGGAGGGUGCAAGCGUUAUCCGGAUUUACUGGGUUUAAAGGGUGCGUAGGUGGGUCUGUAAGUCAGUGGUGAAAUCUCCGAGCUUAACUCGGAAACUGCCAUUGAUACUAUAGAUCUUGAAUAUCCUGGAGGUGAGCGGAAUAUGUCAUGUAGCGGUGAAAUGCUUAGAUAUGACAUAGAACACCAAUUGCGAAGGCAGCUCACUACGGGAUUAUUGACACUGAGGCACGAAAGCGUGGGGAUCAAACAGGAUUAGAUACCCUGGUAGUCCACGCCCUAAACGAUGGAUACUCGACAUCAGCGAUACACUGUUGGUGUCUGAGCGAAAGCAUUAAGUAUCCCACCUGGGAAGUACGAUCGCAAGAUUG
This 373-nucleotide ribosomal RNA is filed under the name uncultured bacterium. Its description in RNAcentral is "bacterial SSU rRNA". It matches the Rfam family "Bacterial small subunit ribosomal RNA", at positions 521 to 896 of the family's 1533-position model. The record is from RNAcentral.